Molecule: ribosomal RNA, 1338 nt
Filed under: uncultured bacterium
Lineage: Bacteria
Description: bacterial SSU rRNA
Rfam family: Bacterial small subunit ribosomal RNA
Source: RNAcentral
GGAUGAACGUUGGCGGCGUGCCUAAUACAUGCAAGUCGAACGAAGACUGUAGUAAUACUGUCUUAGUGGCGAACGGGUGAGUAACGCGUGGGUGACCUGCCCCGAAGUGUGGGAUAACAGUCCGAAAGGAUUGCUAAUACUGCAUAAUAUCCAAGAGAUUAGAUGCUUUUGGAUUAAAGGAGUAAUUCGCUUCGGGAGGGGCCCGCGUCCCAUCAGCUAGUUGGUAAGGUAAUGGCUUACCAAGGCGAUGACGGGUAGGGGACCUGAGAGGGUGGCCCCCCACAAUGGAACUGAAACACGGUCCAUACACCUACGGGUGGCAGCAGUAGGGAAUAUUAGUAAUGGGCGAAAGCCUGAACUAGCAACGCCGCGUGUGCGAUGAAGGCCUUCGGGUCGUAAAGCACUUUUUGGAAGGAAUAGGAAGGAAUGUACUUCCAGAAUAAGUCUCGGCUAACUACGUGCCAGCAGCCGCGGUAACACGUAGGAGGCAAACGUUAUCCGGAUUUACUGGGCGUAAAGCGCGUGUAGGUGGUACUGUAAGUAGGGCGUGAAAGCUCCUGGCUCAACUGGGAGAGGCCGUUCUAAACUACAGAACUAGAGGAUGGUAGAGGGAGGUGGAAUUCCAGGUGUAGCGGUGGAAUGCGCAGAUAUCUGGAGGAACACCGGUGGCGAAGGCGGCCUCCUGGACCAUUCCUGACACUCAGACGCGAAAGCUAGGGUAGCAAACGGGAUUAGAGACCCCGGUAGUCCUAGCCCUAAACGAUGUAGACUAGGCGUCGGAAGUUUAAUCACUUUCGGUGUCCAAGCUAACGCAUUAAGUUAUCCGCCUGGGGAGUACGGUCGCAAGAUUAAAACUCAAAGGAAUUGACGGGGGCCUGCACAAGCGGUGGAGCAUGUGGUUUAAUUCGAAGCAACGCGCAGAACCUUACCAACGUUUGACAUCCUUAUCGCGAUUAGAGGAGACUCUUUUCUUCAGUUCGGCUGGAUAAGUGACAGGUGCUGCAUGGCUGUCGUCAGCUCGUGUCGUGAGAUGUUGGGUUAAGUCCCGCAACGAGCGCAACCCUCGACUUUAGUUACCAUCAUUUAGUUGGGUACUCUAAAGUAACCGCCGGUGAUAAGCCGGAGGAAGGUGGGGAUGACGUCAAGUCCUCAUGGCCCUUACGCGUUGGGCUACACACGUGCUACAAUGGCGACUACAGUGGGCUGCUACCUCGCGAGAGGGUGCUAAUCUCCAAAAGUCGUCUCAGUUCGGAUUGUUCUCUGCAACUCGAGAGCAUGAAGGCGGAAUCGCUAGUAAUCGCGCAUCAGCCACGGCGCGGUGAAUACGUUCCCGGGCCU